Molecule: ribosomal RNA, 593 nt
Filed under: uncultured bacterium
Lineage: Bacteria
Description: bacterial SSU rRNA
Rfam family: Bacterial small subunit ribosomal RNA
Source: RNAcentral
GGAGCAAACAGGAUUAGAUANCCUGGUAGUCCACGCCGUAAACGAUUGAUAACUAGCUGUCAGGGCUCUUGGAGUUUUGGUGGCGCAGCUAACGCAUUAAGUUAUCCGCCUGGGGAGUACGGCCGCAAGGUUAAAACUCAAAGAAAUUGACGGGGGCCUGCACAGGCGGUGGAGCAUGUGGUUUAAUUCGAAGCAACGCGCAGAACCUUACCAGCGUUUGACAUGGUAGGACGACUUCCAGAGAUGGAUUUUUCCCUUCGGGGCCUACACACAGGUGCUGCAUGGCUGUCGUCAGCUCGUGUCGUGAGAUGUUGGGUUAAGUCCCGCAACGAGCGCAACCCUCGUCUUUAGUUGCUACCAUUUAGUUGGGCACUCUAAAGAAACUGCCGGUGAUAAGCCGGAGGAAGGUGGGGAUGACGUCAAGUCCUCAUGGCCCUUACGCGCUGGGCUACACACGUGCUACAAUGGCGGUGACAGUGAGCAGCGACCCCGCGAGGGUGAGCUAAUCUCCAAAAACCGUCUCAGUUCGGAUUGUUCUCUGCAACUCGAGAGCAUGAAGGCGGAAUCGCUAGUAAUCGCGGAUCAGCAUGCCG